RNAcentral lists this ribosomal RNA (253 nucleotides) under uncultured bacterium. Its description in RNAcentral is "partial 16S ribosomal RNA". It matches the Rfam family "Bacterial small subunit ribosomal RNA", at positions 524 to 776 of the family's 1533-position model. The record is from RNAcentral.
AACGUAGGAGACAAACGUUAUCCGGAGUUACUGGGCGUAAAGGGCGUGUAGGCGGUUAGUUAAGUCUGGCGUGAAAUCCCAGGGCUCAACCCUGGAACUGCCUUUGAUACUGUCGAUCUGGAGUAUGGAAGAGGUGAGUGGAAUUCCGAGUGUAGAGGUGAAAUUCGUAGAUAUUCGGAGGAACACCAGUGGCGAAGGCGGCUCACUGGUCCAUUACUGACGCUGAGGUGCGAAAGCGUGGGGAGCAAACAGG